UCUAUAAUAAACUCUUUCUAUCAGUGUUAAAAAUUCUACGGGUAUAAAUUUUGCUCUUAUUCAAAUUCCCGCGAUACAAUAAAAUUCCAGUUCUUUUUAUAACACGUUAUCAACACGAUCACUCUGCGAUUCGGUAAAAUUUAUUUGUAUAAUUUAUACCCUGUUAUAAUGGUCGGUAUACCGCCUCUACUAUUAUUUAUAUCAUGUUAUAAUGGCCGGAAUACUGCCUAUAUUAUUUACUAGUAAUUUAAUUUAUUUAUUGGUCGGCCGAGCCACCUUAUAUUCUGUUUAUUAUUAAUUGGUCGGCUGAGCCGCCGUAUAAUUUAUUUAUUACUCUGCAUUGAUCGGCUGAGCCGUCGCAUGAUUUGUUGUCAUAACAUAAAUAUUUCAUUGUCAUAAUUUUUUACUUUUAUGAAAUUUUAUAGAUUUGAUUGACCGUUUAAUAUGAUAUUUCAGAUUAAUUUUUGGUGCACUCGAUUUAACCCCAACGGUCACAAAGAAAAUUUUUCAAAAAUUUAUCCUUUCUCAAACGGUCAUGAACAGUGAUUUUCAUAUAUAAAUACAACUCAUUUUCACUCCAUUUCAUCAUCCAAAACAUUUCAUCUUCUCUCAAAAAUUUCAAAUCGCUCUCCUCCGAUUUUUCAUUUCAAGAAAGAUGAUUCGCGCCCUUUUGUUUUUAUGUGCCAUUUUUAUUUGUGUUUCUAUUUAUGGUUUAUUCGUUGGAGAAUUUACUCCGAGUGAAUUUAAAAUGAAUAUCAGUUUAAUUUUCUUUACAUCGCUUCUCCUUGUAAUUGCUUGCAUGAUUAAUGUAAACGGUUCAUUUUAAUAUGAAUAAUAUUCUAAUAAUUUUUAUUUAUGUGCUUUAGAAAUACAAAUGGCAAACAUCGAGAAACUCCAGUUCCCGGCUCUGAAAGUAACCGGCGAAAACUAUGUCAGAUGGGUCACAAAUGUGAAACCUUAUCUUGUAAUAAAAAAGAUAACCUNNNNN
RNAcentral lists this long non-coding RNA (988 nucleotides) under Brassica napus (rape). RNAcentral describes it as "long non-coding RNA (BNAP_LNC011000)". The record is from RNAcentral. Lineage: Eukaryota; Viridiplantae; Streptophyta; Magnoliopsida; Brassicales; Brassicaceae.